ACAAUGUAGUCUUUUAAGAGUCUUGUUUAGGGGAGAUUUUCUUUCUAAUAGUUUUUAUGCUUUGUUUUAUAUUAGGUUUUUAUAUGUAGGCUAAUUGGCCAAACUAUAUAAUAAUCAUGUUUUUAGUAUGUUUUUCUUUUUGUCUGAAUUAUCGCAUUUAUGGUUUUCAAAUUUUAAGCUUCUGCAUGACGCCCUCUCGAUUUCGAACCUAACAAGUGGUAUCAGAGCUUAGAAUUUCAAGAUCCAAUGAUUUGGUGAAACGAGGUUGAAGACAAGUUCAAGAUGGUUCAAAAUCAAUUUGCAACCAAUUUGAUAAUAAUGGAGAUAUAUAUUCAAGAUACUACAUGUGGAUAAAAAGUUUCAAACAAAUUUUCAACAAUCUGUUAGAGUUUUUGCCUUGAUUUUCUUACAAAAAUUAAGUUUUACUUUUUCUUGUAAGGAAAAUAAAAGUAACCAUGAAUACUUUUAUUUUUCCUGAAAGAAAAAUAUAAAAUUUUUUCUUAUUUGACAAACCUCUUUCUUGGAGGGGAGGUUUUGGACAUGUAUAAAUAGAAGUCCCCUCUUCUCAUAUAAUAACACAAUAGCAUCCACAAUGUAG
This 598-nucleotide long non-coding RNA is filed under the name Capsicum annuum. RNAcentral's name for it is "long non-coding RNA (CANN_LNC016961)". The record is from RNAcentral. Lineage: Eukaryota; Viridiplantae; Streptophyta; Magnoliopsida; Solanales; Solanaceae.